Molecule: long non-coding RNA, 884 nt
Organism: Hippoglossus stenolepis (Pacific halibut)
Lineage: Eukaryota; Metazoa; Chordata; Actinopteri; Pleuronectiformes; Pleuronectidae
Exons: 3
Source: RefSeq, a predicted model, not a curated record
UGGAGGAUCAUGCGUCAAAGCGCACCGAAACGAGCAGGAGCAUCCGCCAGACGCAGGGCGACGGCACCUCCGCAGUAAAAGCUUCCUCGGUGCACUGCAGCGGAGGCGCUUUAAAUCUGAAAAGGAGGAUCUGAAGUUGCAUCUUUCUUUCCUGCCUCGCCGCUGCGUUGACGGCAGGGGAUGCAGGUGGAGCGACUCAGCCAGGAACGUUCACAUCUGUCUUAAAGGAGAGAGAGAAGAGGGGGGGUGGAAAACCUGCUUUCUGGUCUGAUCAACGCUCUGGAUAAAAUAAAAAAAAACAAAAACAAGAAACACUGAAGCGCAAAUUGCACCCAGGCUAUAUCCAGGGAUUUGUACAAACCUCCUCAAGUCCUGGAGAAUAAUAUCGGGAGGGAUUGCUGCAAAACACAAGUUUCCCCCAAUGCACACAUCUACAUGAGCAGCGACAGGGCUGAGACGAGGGUGGAUAGGAGACAGAAAGGGAGAGUGAAAGCUGCAGACGGAGAGGGAGAUAAGAACUUAUCCCGGCCUGCCUCCACAAUGAUGGGACCCAUACCUGCAUAAACCUUUGUGGUCGAUAGGUUUCAGGAGAAGCAUGGGCUUACGCUGAAACCAUGAACACAUCAUAUGCUCUAUCAGACGCCGGCAAGCUCUAAUACCCGUCUUCUCUACCGCUCCCUCUCUUUUGCAAAUGUUCUUCUGCUUGUCCUCCCCUUGAAGAAAGAUCACAAUCGGAUGACUCUUCCCCCAAGCCUUUGGCAGCUGCUCACAUUUCCUGGAAAUUGCUUUGAGAUCUGGAUUCCAGAGACAAAGCUUCUAUUUUCAGUUCAGGAUAGACUAAGAGGCUUUUGAAGAAACGACUGUUUGGCAAUUAUCAUACCCCC